Molecule: ribosomal RNA, 416 nt
Filed under: uncultured bacterium
Lineage: Bacteria
Description: bacterial SSU rRNA
Rfam family: Bacterial small subunit ribosomal RNA
Source: RNAcentral
UGGGGAAUAUUGGGCAAUGGGCGGAAGCCUGACCCAGCAACGCCGCGUGAAGGAAGAAGGCCCUCGGGUUGUAAACUUCUUUUAUUCGGGACGAAGAAGUGACGGUACCGAAUGAAUAAGCCACGGCUAACUACGUGCCAGCAGCCGCGGUAAUACGUAGGUGGCAAGCGUUAUCCGGAUUUACUGGGUGUAAAGGGCGUGUAGGCGGGACUGCAAGUCAGAUGUGAAAACCAUGGGCUCAACCUAUGGCCUGCAUUUGAAACUGUAGUUCUUGAGUGAUGGAGAGGCAGGCGGAAUUCCGUGUGUAGCGGUGAAAUGCGUAGAUAUACGGAGGAACACCAGUGGCGAAGGCGGCCUGCUGGACAUUAACUGACGCUGAGGCGCGAAAGCGUGGGGAGCAAACAGGAUUAGAUACC